Non-coding RNA from Hymenopellis radicata, 85 nucleotides. NCBI's taxonomy places the organism in Eukaryota, Fungi, Basidiomycota, Agaricomycetes, Agaricales, Physalacriaceae. The record is from the annotation of a GenBank genome assembly.
ACACCGAUAGUAAAAGGGUUAUCAUGCUUUCCUUCCAUAACCGAUGGAGCAAGCGGUAGUAGGGGUUCGACUCCCCUUCGGUGUA